Molecule: ribosomal RNA, 432 nt
Filed under: uncultured bacterium
Lineage: Bacteria
Description: partial 16S ribosomal RNA
Rfam family: Bacterial small subunit ribosomal RNA
Source: RNAcentral
ACGAACGCUGGCGGCAUGCCUAACACAUGCAAGUCGCACGAAGGCUUCGGCCUUAGUGGCGCACGGGUGCGUAACGCGUGGGAAUCUGCCCUUUGGUUCGGAAUAACAGCUGGAAACGGCUGCUAAUACCGGAUGAUGACGAAAGUCCAAAGAUUUAUCGCCAGAGGAUGAGCCCGCGUUGGAUUAGGUAGUUGGUGGGGUAAAGGCCUACCAAGCCGACGAUCCAUAGCUGGUCUGAGAGGAUGAUCAGCCACACUGGGACUGAGACACGGCCCAGACUCCUACGGGAGGCAGCAGUGGGGAAUAUUGGACAAUGGGCGCAAGCCUGACCCAGCAAUGCCGCGUGAGUGAUGAAGGCCCUAGGGUUGUAAAGCUCUUUUACCCGGGAAGAUAAUGACUGUACCGGGAGAAUAAGCCCCGGCUAACUCCGUG